GAGACCCAUGCCUUUAGUUACAAACUUACUCUUCGGAGUAGGUGUACUCUAGAGGGACUGCCCGUGCUAAAUGGGAGGAAGGAGUGGGCGACGGUAGGUCAGUAUGGUCCGAAACCUUUGGGCUACACGCGGCAUACAGUGGCCGGAACAAUGGGAUGCAACUCCGAGAGGAGGAGCUAACCCCCUAAAUCCGGUCGUGGUCCGGAUCGAGGGUUGAAACUCACCCUCGUGAAGAUGGAAUGGCUAGUAAUCGCGGGUCACUAUCCCGCGGUGAAUGC
Molecule: ribosomal RNA, 278 nt
Filed under: uncultured archaeon
Lineage: Archaea
Description: partial 16S rRNA
Rfam family: Archaeal small subunit ribosomal RNA
Source: RNAcentral